UUCACAUUUAAUGUGAACACCCCUAAGCCUAACUUUUCUGUUAAUUCCCUUCCCGUUCGAACCAAAACCAGAGAGCGAUAGCAAAGCUACUCCGAUCUCCCUAUUCCCGACCACAUCCCAUACUCCUCUCUCUCUCUCUCUCUCUCUCUCUCUCUCGUUUUUCAUCCUUCUUCUUUUUCUCCUCCUCAUUCCACCAUUGAAGGGGCCGAAUUCAAAGAGAAAGACCCUGUUCAUCUUCUUCGCUAGCUGCAACCGAACAGCAUCGGCGGCACCCCUUUAUCUUCGGCUAUUUUCUCCCUUUUGUCCCUCUCUCUCCUACUCCGUUUUUCAUUCUUUUUUUUCAUUUCUUCCUAAUCUCGCUUUCCUCUUGGUCUCACCCACCCUAUUCGAAUGUUAGGAGAUCACCGCUGUUGCUGUAACUUCCAGCAACGGUGAUCUACUCUCUCUUCUACUUCUCUCUUCUCCUAUCUCCUUCUCUCUCCCCCUUCCUUCCCGAUUCGCUACUAUUUCACCAUUUUCCCUUUUAUUUUAUUUUAUUUUUUUGUUUGUUUCAGUCAUUGUUCGUUUUCUUGACGAGAAUAGAGAACUAGUAGCGGCAGUCCUCCAGUUUUUUGUUCUCGUUCAUCGGCCAAGGAGAAAGGGCGAUACCCGAGAAGCAUUUCGGCUCCCCCAAUCCUCUGUUAUCUAAGUUGGACUGAAAGUUUGCAGCAGCGUUCAUCUUCUCUGCAUCUUCCGUCAACCUCUCUGUGUUCGGUCAUCUUCAUCCCAUCAGAGCAGAGUUUAGAUAACAUUCGAACGCCGGCUCUUGCAUCCACAAAUAUCCCAGUUGCAAAUCCCCCGAGGAUCUCCUCUCUUUGACUGCCAACCAUCAGAGAUUACAGCAGACGUGGUGGCAGUACCAUGGUCUUACAUGAUCUUAAUGGGAAAGAAUCAAGCUCUUGGUCACAAAUUCAAUAUCCACCGAUUCAGCACCAAUUUCGAGGAUAGAAUUACAAUGAGCCAAAAUGGUUUGGGCUAAGCCUUUUGAAAUCAAUCUGGAGAGGAAGAGAGGCCAAAUUUGCUAGUUAAUACGAACUUGCUAUCUCCUCCAUUGAUUGACAAGGAGUUCACAGAGGGUUCAGUUCUGUCAUUGAUUAUGGGUUUUGUGGUUGAAUGAUUCAAUAUGAUGUUAUAUAGCUGUGAUAAUCUCUCUUUAUCUUCUUGGAUGCUCCAUAAACAAAUAGUUUUUGUGCUUCUUUGACUCUUUAAAUAAGGUUUGUUGUGACUAAUUGCACAAUUUGUUUUA
Molecule: non-coding RNA, 1285 nt
Organism: Nelumbo nucifera (sacred lotus)
Lineage: Eukaryota; Viridiplantae; Streptophyta; Magnoliopsida; Proteales; Nelumbonaceae
Source: RefSeq, a predicted model, not a curated record